AGAUGAACCAAGCCGUUGCGAGUACGUGGCAUUGUUAUCAACCCCAGCUGCUUGUGUAGAGGAAAAGCUUCAGGAACUGAAACACAAGUUGGACAUGCUGAGUAAAGAAGAGGCAGAGAAGCAUGAUGAACUUUGAACUUCACAGACUGAAUUUUCUUCAGAAUACAACGGGUAGGAAGAGUGCCCGGUUGAGUUAGAUUAUCGUUCUACUUGUGGUGGCAGUUGGUGUUAUUCGAGAGAUUGGAUGAAAAGAUUGAAAUAGUUUUUCUUCCAGCCUAGAGGAAAGUUUAUCUAAAUUAGAGGGUGUAUUUCUGUUAUGGGUCGUGGGAAUGAAACCACGCUCCUAUUU
RNAcentral lists this unclassified non-coding RNA (349 nucleotides) under Hevea brasiliensis (rubber tree). Lineage: Eukaryota; Viridiplantae; Streptophyta; Magnoliopsida; Malpighiales; Euphorbiaceae. The record is from RNAcentral.